RNAcentral lists this ribosomal RNA (388 nucleotides) under Cytobacillus firmus. RNAcentral describes it as "bacterial SSU rRNA". It matches the Rfam family "Bacterial small subunit ribosomal RNA", at positions 1 to 374 of the family's 1533-position model. Lineage: Bacteria; Bacillati; Bacillota; Bacilli; Caryophanales; Bacillaceae. The record is from RNAcentral.
UCUUAUAUGGAGAGUUUGAUCCUGGCUCAGGACGAACGCUGGCGGCGUGCCUAAUACAUGCAAGUCGAGCGGACGGAUGGGAGCUUGCUCCCAAACCGUCAGCGGCGGACGGGUGAGUAACACGUGGGCAACCUGCCUGUAAGACUGGGAUAACUCCGGGAAACCGGGGCUAAUACCGGAUAACUCUUUUCCCCACAUGAGGAAAAGCUGAAGGAUGGCAUCUCGCUAUCACUUACAGAUGGGCCCGCGGCGCAUUAGCUAGUUGGUGAGGUAACGGCUCACCAAGGCCACGAUGCGUAGCCGACCUGAGAGGGUGAUCGGCCACACUGGGACUGAGACACGGCCCAGACUCCUACGGGAGGCAGCAGUAGGGAAUCUUCCGCAAUGG